Molecule: small nuclear RNA, 107 nt
Filed under: Colobus angolensis palliatus
Lineage: Eukaryota; Metazoa; Chordata; Mammalia; Primates; Cercopithecidae
Source: RNAcentral
AUGCUUGCUUCAGCAGCACAUAUACUAAAAUUGGAAUCAUACAGAGAAGAUUAACAUGGCCCCUUCAUAAGGAUGACAAACAAAUUCAUGAACUGUUCCAUAUUUUU